AGGAAAAGAAUUUAUUUAUUUAUUUAUUUUUUAAAAAUUCUCGUUAACAUAUAUAUAUUUUUGUAUCAUAGUAGGUUAUUCCUCUAUUUGGGGGUCGAGCGCGGUGGCGACCCCUUUCGGUCAUAGCAAAUUUUCCCUCUGUCUCGUCUCGCAUUUUAAUUGUAGCCUCUACAUCUCUUCAGCGAAACCCGUACAGUUUACACAUCAUAACAUAUUCCUCCGCAUUUCUAUAAAAUAAAUAUGAUUUAGAAUAAAAUCGUGUUUUUCUAGCAAACAGAUAAGAGUAAUUCAAUCAAGAAUUUCGUUCAAAAAGCAAACUUGAGAGAAUAUAUUUUUCUUUUUAUUACGAUUAUAUAUAUAUACCAGGUUACUAAAUUCUUAUAUAUAUAUAUAUAAGUUAGAAACAGAAAUUUUACAUCGGUUUAACUCAAAUGAAAUACUUUAUACGAACUACAGUAUAGGUGUACUGUAUAAGAUUUCGUUCGUUAUAACAGGAAGCGCCGUUAGUUCGACCCAUCGAAACGGGCAGGAGAUGUUACGGAUCGGAACAGGUGGUUGCGGUCACGUGACCGUCUGCCAGGUCAAAGGUCUCCGGCCCAACGGGCCAUGUGCGCAGACGAUGCGUGCCAAGGCCAGGACCACUUGUCGCCCUGGGCCAAGUCCAUUAAGCGAAGCGCAGAUGGUUUAAUUGGCCGGUCGAUGCUCGCCGUCGCCGAUUGUCCCCUUUUUAUACACCUGCUGGAUCACGUGAUCGAGAAACGGUUUUUUAAACGCGAUACCGACGGUUGUAACGAGGCUGUCAUCGAUUGAUGAUGCACCUUGUUUUUUAGCUGGCUUGCAGAGAGCGCACUUCGCUUUCUGCUGCUAUGAUCCAAAUUAAACGCGACAAAUCCGUGCAUUUAAAAAUUAAUGGCUUAAUUUUUCUACGGGUUGCCUAUUAUUUUUUGACCCGUACAGUAAAAGGUGGGACUUGACUUUUGCUUCUUUUUUUCUCUCGCUCUCUUUUUUUAAUUUUAUAAAACUCUAAAAAGAAAAUUAUAAAUGUGCAAUUUAUUAUCCCAAGUUUUCUAAAAAUAUUCAGUAC
RNAcentral lists this long non-coding RNA (1084 nucleotides) under Androctonus crassicauda. Lineage: Eukaryota; Metazoa; Arthropoda; Arachnida; Scorpiones; Buthidae. The record is from RNAcentral.